RNAcentral lists this long non-coding RNA (595 nucleotides) under Zea mays. RNAcentral's name for it is "long non-coding RNA (ZMAY_LNC005206)". Lineage: Eukaryota; Viridiplantae; Streptophyta; Magnoliopsida; Poales; Poaceae. The record is from RNAcentral.
ACAGGUAAAAAAAAGGCCUUCCCAGAUGUAAACAGCUUCAUAGGCUAUCUCCAACAGAUCUCCUAUUAUAUCCUCUAUCUUAUCACCUAUUUCAAACUUCUCUCCGUAAACAGUAUUAAACAUUGUCAUCUAUAAUACUGUUUCCCCUAAUUUACAAGCUCUACUGGAGACAGUCUAAGAAGCUUUAACUGCUAGAGUAGUUAUGCAGUGAUGCUAAAGGUUAAGAGAAGGGCAUACAAUUGUUAUAUCUUCAUUUCUCGUUGUUCAGUUUCUAUAAUCUUGAGAGCAGAUUGAGGAGUGCUGCACCGGUCGUCCAGUCACAUAUAUGUCAGAACAAAAUAUACAAACAAAUAAUACCAUAUUCUCAGGUUUCUCUUGUAUAACAUAAAACAAGCAUGCCCCAUUUUUACAAAGUUGGAACCAUAUAUGAAUACUCUGCCAACCAGAGUAAAGAGAACUCAGUAAUAGUACAUGCAAUUUGAGUUCAAGAAAACAACCUAUUAUAUAAAUAAACAGCAAAGCACAACUAACUUGGAGCAGCAUUAUUCUUCAACUUCCUUCUUUAUUUCUUCCAUGAGUUCAUCAGCUAUGCUUC